This 217-nucleotide non-coding RNA is filed under the name Paenibacillus sp. RNAcentral describes it as "Lysine sequence". It matches the Rfam family "Lysine riboswitch aptamer". Rfam says of the family: Riboswitches are metabolite binding domains within certain messenger RNAs that serve as precision sensors for their corresponding targets. Allosteric rearrangement of mRNA structure is mediated by ligand binding, and this results in modulation of gene expression. This family includes riboswitches that sense lysine in a number of genes involved in lysine metabolism, including lysC. Lineage: Bacteria; Bacillati; Bacillota; Bacilli; Caryophanales; Paenibacillaceae. The record is from RNAcentral.
UGAUGAGGUAGAGGUCGCGGGUGCGAUCAGUACGCUGAAGGAGGCGCUAAGGAGCCGCUUAUGAAUUCAGCCGAAAGGUGCACCCGCCGAAGCCCGCAGGACGUUCCUUACGUUGUCCAGCGCGGCUGGGGCUGUUGCCGAAAGGUGCAGAACUGUCACAGAUGAAUGAUACCUUUCUCGGAGGGUAUGAUUUCUUCUGUGUUGAGCUAUCUUAAAC